ACCCAACAAUCAAGCCCAGUUCAGCCCAAAUCAGCCUUGCCUGAACUCAACUUCGGCCCAGUUCAAACGCUGCCGUUUUGGAAGAUUCUUGAAGCCCGUGUAAAAAUUUGAACCUGAAAAUGAAGCUGAAAAUAUGCAAGGGGAGAAAGGCGCGAGGCAGAUAGGAACAAGGGCGAAACAAUGAAAGAAGCAAAAGGGUAUCGGGCUCGAGGAGGCAGUGAAGCAAAGGGUUUUGUGAGAGAAAGAAGCUGGGACCAAGAGGAAAAUAGUAAGGAAAAGAAAAAAAAAAAAAAAAGGAAGAGGAAGAAAGGAAUCGGUUGAAGUAAUAAGGUAUAUUUUGAAUUCGGAAUUUACUUUUUCGUUUCUUGAAGUCAAACUUUGUUUUGCUUCAAGUUUUCACUCCUCUGUAUGCCUAGAAAUCAGACGAACAAAGAGUGAACUGGCAUAUUUGUUGAUAGAAUUAGCAUGAUGAUUUUAUAUGGGUUUGACAGAAUCGCCGUGUCUCUGUUUUGUUGGGAAUUUCUUUGUUUUUUUCUGGAUUGAUAUAGAUAAUCAAAACGAUGAAGAAAAAACGAGUAGGAGAUUUGUUGAAAUUCCCUGUAAUAGUUAAAGAAUGUUCAUCCUUUUUUUCUUUAUUUUAUGCUACAAUGAUUCGUGAUUCAGGUGGCAUUAUGGUUUGGUUUAUCAUACUUAGUUUUAGGGACAGAAAUGAUAAGAACAAUUAGUGUUAGCAAAGUUUCUGGCAGAAUUAGUGCUAUUUUCACUAGAGGUUAAUGACAAUUUAAUAGAUAUAAUUGGUUUUCUUUUACUUCAUCUUCAUGUCUUUGGAACUUGAUUUAUCUUCAAUAUCAAAAGAAAAUUUAGAAGAAAAAUUUAGAAAGAUGGUAGCAGUAAACAUAUAAAGAAGGGGAUUUGGGAAUCAUGAAAAGGGAAAUAUUGAAGUGAGCAUAUGCCAAGAUUCAAGUAAUAAGGAAUGUAUUUUCAUCUUGCAUUUUGUUUUAAUGUAGUUUAAUUCAUUACACCUUGUAAAUUGUAACAUACCAUUGUCACUUACAUUGUAGAUAAAAUUUUAAAUAUUACACUGGCAAAUUAAAUUAAUAUUUAGUAUAUAGGUACUUCACAUGUUCUAUUCUCAUCGCAUGCGGUUAUGGAAUUUAAAAUCUUUGAAUUAAGACGAAUAUGUUUAAAUUAUUAUUUUAAUUUUUUUUUUUUUCUAAUAACAUCGGUAGCGAUUUUCGAAAAAUUUAUUUUUGUGGAAGUCUCUUUUGGGCUUCGUGUCCGCCACAGUGUGACAGGUGGUGUUUCGGGAAGUCGGAUUAUGGGUUGGCUUCAGGCCUAAUUCAAUAGUGCUGGGCUGGAUUGGGCUCACAGUUGUGGGCUCUUGGGCUGGUUUUUGUGAACUGGGUUUAAAAACUAAAGUGGGCUUUAGAAGGGCUAGCAUUUGGAUUCACUCUCUCUUUAAAUGCUACUUUUCAUUUCUCUUUCUUUCCUUUUCUUUUGAUUUAUUUUCCUUUCUCUUCUUCUUUUUGUUUCUCCAUUUUCCUUUUUAACCGUAAUAAAGAAAAUAAAAUUGAACAAGAUUAAGAUAUAAAAUAAAAAAUAUAAUAAUAACAAUAAUAGGUAAUAUUAUCUAUCAUGGACAACUAUUUUUGUUUAAAUUUUUUAUUUGUGAUUACGUGACAUUUUUUUUUUAUAAUUACUAUUAUAGUCAUUAUAAAUAUUUUUUUUAGCUCAAAAAUUUGGAACAUGACACUUCUCUCGAGCUAAAUCUUGGAAUUUCCUUUUAAUAUUCUUGUGCUUCAUCUUACAUAUAUCUUCUUCAUAAGAAAAAAUACAUCUUUUUCAUCUAUAUUCUUGGAUUUGUAAGAAGAGGAACGAAAGCUGCUCUUCAACAAAAGUGUUCGCAAGCACAAGCGGUCGAGCUUUAUGUCAAGAUCAACUAAUGAUUGUACGUUAUGUUUAAGGGAAAAAAAUGAUGGAGCUUAGCACCAAAGAAAACAAACAAGUUGUAAGAUUAACUAUAUAUCAUCUAUAUCGCAGAUGUUAAAUAUGGUUUGGACCUUAUUACAGAGAUACACUAUAAACGAG
This 2088-nucleotide long non-coding RNA is filed under the name Carica papaya (papaya). RNAcentral's name for it is "long non-coding RNA (CPAP_LNC016670)". The record is from RNAcentral. Lineage: Eukaryota; Viridiplantae; Streptophyta; Magnoliopsida; Brassicales; Caricaceae.